AACGAACGCUGGCGGCAUGCCUAACACAUGCAAGUCGAACGAAGGCUUCGGCCUUAGUGGCGCACGGGUGAGUAACGCGUGGGAAACUGCCUAUUGGUGGGGAAUAACGACGGGAAACUGUCGCUAAUACCGCAUAAGCCCUUCGGGGGAAAGAUUUAUCGCCGAUAGAUGUGCCCGCGUCCGAUUAGCUAGUUGGUGAGGUAAUGGCUCACCAAGGCGACGAUCGGUAGCUGGUCUGAGAGGAUGAUCAGCCACACUGGGACUGAGACACGGCCCAGACUCCUACGGGAGGCAGCAGUGGGGAAUAUUGGACAAUGGGCGAAAGCCUGAUCCAGCAAUGCCGCGUGAGUGAUGAAGGCCUUAGGGUUGUAAAGCUCUUUCGGGUGGGACGAUGAUGACGGUCCACCAGAAGAAGCCCCGGCUAACUUCGUGCCAGCAGCCGCAGUAA
This 448-nucleotide ribosomal RNA is filed under the name uncultured bacterium. RNAcentral's name for it is "partial 16S ribosomal RNA". It matches the Rfam family "Bacterial small subunit ribosomal RNA", at positions 29 to 523 of the family's 1533-position model. The record is from RNAcentral.